This 119-nucleotide small nuclear RNA is filed under the name Erythranthe guttata (spotted monkey flower). RNAcentral's name for it is "Mimulus guttatus (spotted monkey flower) U5 spliceosomal RNA". It matches the Rfam family "U5 spliceosomal RNA". From Rfam's summary of the family: U5 RNA is a component of both types of known spliceosome. The precise function of this molecule is unknown, though it is known that the 5' loop is required for splice site selection and p220 binding, and that both the 3' stem-loop and the Sm site are important for Sm protein binding and cap methylation. Lineage: Eukaryota; Viridiplantae; Streptophyta; Magnoliopsida; Lamiales; Phrymaceae. The record is from Rfam by way of RNAcentral.
CAGCUGCGCGAUGAGCACAUAACGAACUAUUCUUUCGCCUUUUACUAAAGAAUACCGUGUGCUCGGCGUAAUACAAACAACAUAUGCCUCUUUUUGCCGGGUUAAUUUUCUUUUAGGAA